AAAGCAACAGUCCAGGGUUUCUUCUCGGAUGAACGGAGGAGAAUUCGAUAAACAGGUUCAGUUUUUGGUUGAAGGCUUUUUGGCAAUAAGAAAAGCCAAAUUUCAGGGGUAUCCUGCUGUUUGUGCCGAACUGGACCUUGUAGAGCAGGAAGAUCAAUUAACUCAUGAGGUUUCUCUUGACGAGGAUAUGGAUCAAGUGAUCACUCUCGGUAAGAAGAAAUACUUGUGUAGUCUCAGAUGAUCCACUUUACAUAAAUCUGUAUCUGGAAGGGAAGUGAUCACCAGUUUCUGAAGGUGAUCCAGGUAGGCGAGCAGACUAGGCUUGCAGAUAGAGGGACCUCAGUAUUGCCCUAUCAGUAGAGAGUGAGUAUAUUUUGAGAGUAUUUUUGCAUAGCCCUCACCAGUUGAUGAUAUGUGGGAAAUAGUCAUAUGUGUAUAUUUUGAGAAAUAUGUUAGCACUCUGGUAUUGUAUAUAAUUAUAUACGGUUAUGUUUAUUUGAUUUCUGGUUCUUGCUGCUUAGGUUAAUCGUUGGGUUAAUCCAGUUUGAUAUCAGAGCAUUGUAAAUUUUACAGUAUAAAAAAAUAUCUCAGUUAAAUA
Molecule: long non-coding RNA, 598 nt
Organism: Malania oleifera
Lineage: Eukaryota; Viridiplantae; Streptophyta; Magnoliopsida; Santalales; Ximeniaceae
Exons: 5
Source: RefSeq, a predicted model, not a curated record